Molecule: ribosomal RNA, 52 nt
Filed under: uncultured fungus
Lineage: Eukaryota; Fungi
Description: partial 5.8S ribosomal RNA
Rfam family: 5.8S ribosomal RNA
About the family: 5.8S ribosomal RNA (5.8S rRNA) is a component of the large subunit of the eukaryotic ribosome. It is transcribed by RNA polymerase I as part of the 45S precursor that also contains 18S and 28S rRNA.
Source: RNAcentral
AAAACUUUCAACAACGGAUCUCUUGGUUCUGGCAUCGAUGAAGAACGCAGCA